CCUACGGGAGGCAGCAGUGGGGAAUAUUGCGCAAUGGGCGAAAGCCUGCCGCAGCGACGCCGCGUGAGGGAUGAAGGUCUUCGGAUCGUAAACCUCUGUCAGCAGGGAAGAACGGUCACUGUGCUAAUCAGCAGUGAAUUGCCGGUACCUGCAAAGGAAGCACCGGCUAACUCCGUGCCAGCAGCCGCGGUAAUACGGAGGAUCCGAGCGUUAUCCGGAUUUAUUGGGUUUAAAGGGAGCGUAGGUGGAGUGUUAAGUCAGUUGUGAAAGUUUGCGGCUCAACCGUAAAAUUGCAGUUGAAACUGGCAGUCUUGAGUACAGUAGAGGUGGGCGGAAUACGUGGUGUAGCGGUGAAAUGCUUAGAGAUCAUACAGAACACCGAUUGCGAAGGCAGCUUACCAAGCUACUUCUGACGUUGAGGCACGAAAGCGUGGGGAGCAAACAGGAUUAGAUACCCGGGUAGUC
This 465-nucleotide ribosomal RNA is filed under the name uncultured bacterium. RNAcentral's name for it is "partial 16S ribosomal RNA". It matches the Rfam family "Bacterial small subunit ribosomal RNA", at positions 338 to 795 of the family's 1533-position model. The record is from RNAcentral.